This 517-nucleotide ribosomal RNA is filed under the name uncultured bacterium. RNAcentral's name for it is "bacterial SSU rRNA". It matches the Rfam family "Bacterial small subunit ribosomal RNA", at positions 32 to 518 of the family's 1533-position model. The record is from RNAcentral.
ACGACGCUGGCGGCGUGCCUAAUACAUGCAAGUCGAACGGUCUUUUCUAUGGAAGCUUGCUUCCACUGAGAAGAUAGUGGCGAACGGGUGAGUAACACGUGGGUAACCUGCCCAUAAGAGGGGGAUAACAUCCGGAAACGGGUGCUAAUACCGCAUAGUUUUCUUGAUUGCAUGAUUGAGAAAGGAAAGACGGCCUUUGUGCUGUCGCUUAUGGAUGGACCCGCGGCGUAUUAGUUAGUUGGUGAGGUAACGGCUCACCAAGACGAUGAUACGUAGCCGACCUGAGAGGGUGAUCGGCCACAUUGGGACUGAGACACGGCCCAAACUCCUACGGGAGGCAGCAGUAGGGAAUCUUCCGCAAUGGACGAAAGUCUGACGGAGCAACGCCGCGUGAGUGAAGAAGGUUUUUCCGGAUCGUAAAACUCUGUUGUCAGAGAAGAACAAGUUGGAGAGUAACUGCUCCAGCCUUGACGGUAUCUGACCAGAAAGCCACGGCUAACUACGUGCCAGCAGCAGC